GGAAUGUCAGAUCCUUAACCUACUGAGCGAGGCCAGGGCUCGAAUCUGCAACCUCCUGGUUUCUAGUCGGAUUUGUUUCCACUGUGCCACGACCGGAACUCCAUGGAUGCAUUCUUGACUGAAGUCCUCUAAAUCUAUUUUCCCUCAAAACUGAAUUCUCUCAUUAUGGGGGUUUUUAGGAGACAGCAAGGUGUAGGGCAAUGGGCAUGGUGCUCAGUAAGAGAUUCUCUUAAUGACUAGGUACAGGGGGGCCACCCAUGCACCAUGCGCUGGGAAUACAGCAGCCACCAAAGGAGUCAGAAACCCAUAUCCUAAUAGAGCUGCCGUUCUGACUCUGUUAGUCAUCAGCUGUGUGAGCUUAGCAAGUCACUUAACCUCUCUGAGCAUCAGCUCAUUAUAGCAUGUUCACAGGAUUGUUGGGAGAGCUCUAUGUCAGCUCUUGCAUGUGGAGUGUCAAGUCUAGGCCCUAACACCUAAACGGCUUCUAGAAAGGGUAGUCAGGAUGAUUGCUCUUGCAGGCAGUGGGUAAGAAGGGAGUUCAGAUAAAUCCAAGGAGGCCUUGCACUACUGGCAGAACCUUUAAAGAAGAGGCAGGGUGAGAAGGGUCAUCUGUGAACAAUGGCUCCCCUCCCCAAAUAAAACCCCACCUCUGUUCCCUGCCUUUCAACCAAUACCCCCAGGUUGCAAGGUUUGCCCACAUGGGCAGCUGCUGGGCUGGUGGCCCUUUGACCCCAAGGCCCUGCCUGCUGGUCCAUGUUGUCACCCUGACAGAAGUUCCACCCCCGGUGCCCUAACCCCUUGGACACUCUCCAAGUUCAGGGCCAGGCAUUCCCGCCAGCCCAGAGUCCUCUGGGUGGGGUCAGCGCAGAUCUAGCUUACUCCCCCUGAAGGCAGGUCACUCAGCUCAUCCUGCCUCCUGCCCCUGAGCAGAUCACUCACCCUCUGAGUCAGGCUCUCCUCUCCAGACUAAAGGGUUAGGUGAAUCCUCAGUUCUGGGAUUCUACAGGGUUCCUCCCAUGGGACAUCUGAUAGAAAUCUGGAAUCCAUCAAACCACAGUCUUUCCACUAGUAGUCCCAGUUUCAGAGCUCAGUGUUUCUAUCUGCAAAAAUGGGCUUACUAAUCCCUGCUCCCAUAUCAUGAGUGUUGACACAGUGGAGGGGACUUGGGAUCUUGAGUCAGACAGACUUGACUUUGAAUACUGGUGUCUCCAUUUGCAAGGCAAGAUGCUUCUGCCCUCUGGAAGCCCCAGUGCUUCAUCUGAAGGACAGGAUAUGGCAUCUUCCUUGAGGAAUUUCUGAAGUGAGUGAACCAUGCAUCAUAUUGCUCAUAGAACAUGAUAAAUAAUUGGCAGCUCUUCUUAAGGUGGUUGGUAUUUACUCUAAAGUAAGUACCUGAUUAGAAGCUGAUUCUAUCCCUAAUUUCCCCAUCAUGCUCACCCUCUCUGGGUCUCUGAGGUUGGGUUCCUCCAACUGCUAAUCAGUGAUGGAACUUCUAUGGCUGAAAGCUACCUCCUGAGGGAACACAGUGGCCAUCCCAACUUCCUCUUAGGCAGCAGAGUCCGUGGUCCAUGCAAUACUUCCUGUUGAAAAAUGUGUCCUCAGUACAUGUGAUGAGUCCUCAGAUACACAGUACCCUACUCACCUGCUUCUCCUGGGAUCCUAACUGGUCCAUGCUUUGGAGUAGAUAUAAAGCCAUUCUUUCUUUGUGUGAUAUAAAUCUUGAAUUUCCCCCUGACCUCACUUGUCGCUGUCCUUUGUCCCCACUGUCUGUUCAGAAGAACAUGUGACACCCAAAGGGACUAGAAGCCCUGAAUCUCAGGGUUAGAGGCGGAUAAAUGAUACUUAGGUGAAAUCCUCUUUUGGUGCUUGAACUUCCUCUACUCCACCCUGUUCUUACUUACCUCCUAUAAUGGGAAACUCACUAGACAAAAAGGGGUCAUUUUAUCACCUACUUGGUCACCAGUUAGCUGUCUGACUUGCUAGAAAAACCAUUGCUCAACUCUGGCAAAAAAAAGCUUCUAUCAUGGGUAAGUCAUCUGUGAAUCUCUGUUCCAAAGAACAAUCCUGUUUUCUUGUCCAUCCCCCUCCACAACUCUGAACCUCAUGGCCACAAAAAAUGGAGAUGUGACAUUUUUCUCUAGAAUAACAAAACUCUGUUAAUGUGUCUCUUUAUUUACCCACUCACUAGACAUUCCUGUAAGGAAUCUACUUCAGAUGCCCACAGAGCAUGCCUUUCAAUUGUAAGCACAAUUAGCUAGUUUCCAGAAGGAGGAGGAGGGGCAUUCAUGGGCAGAGAUAAAUCAUAUCCUCGGCCAAAACCCCUCUUCUAUUUUCCAACAGGGAACCCAAAGCAAUUUCAGAACAACUCCGGGGGUAACAUUGUUUUCCUUGUGCAGCUUCAGAAACAGAGGCACAGGAAGCGAAGGUCACCCAACAAAUCAAGGGCAAAGGCGUGCACUAAAUCCCAAGAAUCUAAGACCUCCCGGUGCAGUAAUUGAUCCUCUACGAUAAAUGUUUGUCUUGCUAACCAGGGAAAUUUAUUGUGGUCUUUACAGCAGGAUUCUUGAGGCUUAAAAUUAUAAACAGGGAAACAGGGCCUGGUCAUAAGUUGAGUGAUUAAUUGGCAGAGAAAAUGUUCAAGGAGGGAAAGGGUCAAUGGGGUGAAGAAAAAUCAAACCUCUUUUAGGAAGUUUCCCUGCUCUCUUACAUAGUUUUAAUUCUUCAUGCUCGGUCUCUUCAUUAAACAUUUUUGAAGUGGGUUUUUAUUUUGUUUCUUGGUUUUUGCUUUUUGGUUAUUUUUCUGGCAAGGUUAUUUGAGUAUGUCUGCCACUUAGAUUAUUUCUGAGGUUGAAUUGAACUUAACCUUUGCCCAGUGAAGCAGAACAGAUUCCUGCUUAUCUGAAGUAAGUGGGACUGAGAGGCCAAGGGACAAUCAAGACCGUAAUCAGAAAAGGCUGAGAUAGAGCACGCUCUGUUUCUUUGCCAAGGAAGGGUCACAGUGAGGACCAGUGUCCAGGUCAUGGGACACAGGUGCUGUGACGGCUCGGGGGGAGCCACCCGAGGAUGGAGCCGACUCACACAGCAGCUCCUCAGAGGCAGCAGGUCCCCAACGCAAGAAGAGCCUGGCCUUUGUAUUGAGACCUUGUUUACCCUUCCAGCUCCACCCUGUGCUUGCUGUGCAGCUUCAGCAAGUUGGGGAACCUCUCUGAGUCUCAGUUUCCUCAGUCAGCUCUGGCUAAGUGGACACCCAAUGGCUGCCUUUCUGAUACUACAACCAAGAGUGUUUCAGGAACUCCACACUUAAGCUCUUUCAAUCAGUAACAGAAUGAUCCUAGACCUUCCCCAACACACAUUGUUGAAGCUGAAAGGACACCGCACAGAUGAACGCUCUGAGGCUGCCAGCAGGUAAGAGGAUCUGCUCAUCAGAGUGGUGGCAUCUGUCCUCAAACUCUGAGGGUUGACUACACGCACACACAGGACCACUUAGUGCGGACAAAAUCAUCUUGUCUGGGAUAUGGCCUUGUCGACAACCUCAUUUUAAUUCAACAAGAUGUGGGCACGAAGGGCAAUUUACCCUUCAAUCUGCUCCCUGGGGCCUAAACAGCACGCUGUUUUCUUUCCUUCUUUGCUCCUGGCAGCAACAGAUACUAUUGGGUUGGAGCUCCACAAAUUGUUUGGAUAUAAGGAAAAAGACGAUACAGACUUUGCUGGUCAACAUGAAUAGAUGCCGACUGCAAACCAAGGAAGGACAAACUGGGAAAGCAAGGAGCACAGCGCCACCUGCUGCUGAGAGGGGGGAUGGCGGUAGAGAUGCACCCAGUGGGAAGCUGGGCUGGAAGCACCAACCCCUCGGGUCAAAUCCUCCCUGCAUUUCCCUUCAGGGAAGGAACUGAAGCCAGAAAGGGUGAGAGGCUGAUUUCCAACUCUCUUCCCUCCACCUGAGGGGAGGACACAGGAACUGGCAGCCACCUGGCCCUCAGGAGGAAGAGGAGAGGAAACACAAGGAAAAGCAGGUGCAGACCUGGUUCCUGCUUAGAGGGUGAGACGCCCAUCAUGCCAGGAGAUCACUCAUAGGAACUGUACAGGCUGGCAGUUUGUGCAAUGGCUGCUCCACCAUCCCGGCCAGACUGCAGGGCUUUCAGGCCGAGGUGGCACUGAAUGAAGAUGCAAGGGGCAUCAAGAUGAGGGGGAAACCACCCCAUAAACUCAGUUUGAAUACAAAAAAAAAAAAAAAAAAA
This is a long non-coding RNA of Sus scrofa (pig), 4238 nucleotides long. RefSeq lists it as uncharacterized. Lineage: Eukaryota; Metazoa; Chordata; Mammalia; Artiodactyla; Suidae. The record is from RefSeq and is a predicted model, not a curated record.